AAGUCGUAACAAGGUCUCCGUUGGUGAACCAGCGGAGGGAUCAUUACCGGGUCGGCGACUGCCCGAAACCACACCGUGCACCGGCCUCGUGCCCUUUUCUCGUCGACGCCGCGGGGGGUUUGCUCGCUGGGGGAGCUGCUGGUCCUUUGGGACCGGCCCGCCGAGGCGUCGUCCGUUUAGAAACACGCUGAGAAGAGAACUUCAGAGGGUGCAACAGCGACCUUCGGGCGCUAAGAAACCUAGUCACAACUCACAACAAUGGAUCUCUUGGCUCCG
This 276-nucleotide unclassified non-coding RNA is filed under the name fungal sp. Its description in RNAcentral is "partial internal transcribed spacer region". The stretch from base 1 to 46 matches the Rfam family "Eukaryotic small subunit ribosomal RNA", at positions 1786 to 1831 of the family's 1831-position model. Lineage: Eukaryota; Fungi. The record is from RNAcentral.